Acanthosepion pharaonis is the source of this 104-nucleotide non-coding RNA. The record is from the annotation of a GenBank genome assembly. NCBI's taxonomy places the organism in Eukaryota, Metazoa, Mollusca, Cephalopoda, Sepiida, Sepiidae.
ACAGCCACAUCACAUUGAAACACCAGUUCGCCUUUAAUCACCAGUUAAGCAAUGUCGAGCCUGAUCAGUACCUAGAUGGGUAACCACUUGGGAAUACCAGGUGA